This 253-nucleotide ribosomal RNA is filed under the name uncultured bacterium. Its description in RNAcentral is "partial 16S ribosomal RNA". It matches the Rfam family "Bacterial small subunit ribosomal RNA", at positions 524 to 776 of the family's 1533-position model. The record is from RNAcentral.
UACGAAGGGGGCUAGCGUUGCUCGGAAUCACUGGGCGUAAAGCGCACGUAGGCGGACUCUUAAGUCGGUGGUGAAAUCCUGGAGCUCAACUCCAGAACUGCCUUCGAUACUGAGAGGCUUGAAUCCGGGAGAGGGAUGCGGAAUUCCAGGUGUAGCGGUGAAAUGCGUAGAUAUCUGGAGGAACACCGGUGGCGAAGGCGGCAUCCUGGACCGGCAUUGACGCUGAGGCGCGAAAGCCAGGGGAGCAAACGGG